Molecule: ribosomal RNA, 494 nt
Filed under: uncultured bacterium
Lineage: Bacteria
Description: partial 16S ribosomal RNA
Rfam family: Bacterial small subunit ribosomal RNA
Source: RNAcentral
GACGAACGCUGGCGGCGUGCUUAACACAUGCAAGUCGAACGGUGAAGCGCCUUCCUUUUUGGUGGGUGUGGAUGAGUGGCGAACGGGUGAGUAACACGUGAGUAACCUGCCCCCUUCUUCUGGAUAACCGCAUGAAAGUGUGGCUAAUACGGGAUAUUCUGGGUCUGUCGCAUGAUGGGUCUGGGAAAGAUAUUGUUUCGGUGGGGGAUGGGCUCGCGGCCUAUCAGCUGGUUGGUGGGGGGAGGGCCUACCAAGGCGGUGACGGGUAGCCGGCCUGAGAGGGUGGACGGUCACACUGGGACUGAGACACGGCCCAGACUCCUACGGGAGGCAGCAGUGGGGAAUAUUGCACAAUGGGCGCAAGCCUGAUGCAGCGACGCCGCGUGAGGGAUGGAGGCCUUCGGGUUGUGAACCUCUUUCGCCAGUGAAGCAGGCCUGCCUCGUUUGUGGGUGGGUUGACGGUAGCUGGAUAAGAAGCGCCGGCUAACUACGUG